Molecule: transfer RNA, 63 nt
Filed under: Loxocephala perpunctata
Lineage: Eukaryota; Metazoa; Arthropoda; Insecta; Hemiptera; Eurybrachidae
Also listed under: 1 other name
Description: tRNA-Asp
Source: RNAcentral
AAGAAGUUAGUUUAAAAAAAACAAUUAUUUGUCAAAUAAAAAUUAUAUUAUUUAUACAUCUUA